Molecule: long non-coding RNA, 265 nt
Organism: Apis dorsata (giant honeybee)
Lineage: Eukaryota; Metazoa; Arthropoda; Insecta; Hymenoptera; Apidae
Exons: 2
Source: RefSeq, a predicted model, not a curated record
UAUUUUUUCAUUUCUCAUUUAUUUAAUAUUGAUUUUUUAAGUUUGAUGCAAUAAUUUAGAGAAUAUAAAUUUUAUCAGAGCUUUGUUAGAAGGUUAAUAUGUAUAUACUUAAAAAUAUGUCAAACAAUUUCAACUUCCACAACAGUGUUCAAUUUUGUACUUAAAAGUAUUAUUAUCAACACAAGUCAUUAAAAUUGUACUCUGUUUUUGUUUUCAUGGAUUUGUAUAUAAAACAUGAUAUAUAAGUAUAGUAAAGUAUUGAGCA